GUGCUCGCUUCAGUGGCAUAUACAUUAAAAUUGGAACAAUACUGAGACGGUGAGCACGGCCCCUGCAUAAGGUGCAAAUUCGUGAAGCAUUCUGUAUUUUA
RNAcentral lists this small nuclear RNA (101 nucleotides) under Mustela putorius furo (domestic ferret). The record is from RNAcentral. Lineage: Eukaryota; Metazoa; Chordata; Mammalia; Carnivora; Mustelidae.